CCUGAUGACCAUAGCAAGUCGGUCCCACCCCUUCCCAUCCCGAACAGGACCGUGAAACGACUUUGCGCCGAUGAUAGUGCUGCAACCAGUGUGAACCACCAGCGUCGCUGGUGGGC
This 116-nucleotide ribosomal RNA is filed under the name Massilia sp. Leaf139. Lineage: Bacteria; Pseudomonadati; Pseudomonadota; Betaproteobacteria; Burkholderiales; Oxalobacteraceae. The record is from RNAcentral.